CCUACGGGUGGCUGCAGUGGGGAAUUUUCCGCAAUGCUCGUAAGAUUGACGCAGCGACGCCGCGUGCAUGACGAAGGCCUUCGGGUCGUAAAGUUCUUUCGACAGGGAAGAAAAUGCGUAUAAGGAACUGUGUAUGUAUUGACGGUACCUGUAUAAGCAGCCCCGGCUAACUCUGUGCCAGCAGCCGCGGUAAUACAGAGGGGGCGAGCGUUGUUCGGAGUGACUGGGCGUAAAGAGCACGUAGGCGGUGUUGUAAGUCUUUAGGCAAAGAAUAGCGCUCAACUUUCGUAAGUUUAGUGAGACAAUAGUAAUAGAGAAUCAGAGAGGAGUGCAGAAUUCCUGGUGUAGCGGUGAAAUGCGUAGAUAUCAGGAAGAAUACC
Molecule: ribosomal RNA, 380 nt
Filed under: uncultured bacterium
Lineage: Bacteria
Description: partial 16S ribosomal RNA
Rfam family: Bacterial small subunit ribosomal RNA
Source: RNAcentral